This is a long non-coding RNA of Cercocebus atys (sooty mangabey), 1622 nucleotides long. RefSeq lists it as uncharacterized. The transcript has 2 exons. Lineage: Eukaryota; Metazoa; Chordata; Mammalia; Primates; Cercopithecidae. The record is from RefSeq and is a predicted model, not a curated record.
CUCUUCCUCCUCCUCCUCCCUGCCGGGGUGAAACUCCAGCGCCGCACCCGCGCCUGACCUCCCCGAGCCCCGCCCCUUCCCGGUACGGGACCCCCACCUUCGCUCCCGGGAGCCCCGCUGCACCCCAGAGUUCCAUUCCUGCUUCCCCAGUGCGAGUGCGGCCGAGCGCUGACUUUUGGGGGCUCCCUUCCCCGUCUCACUGGGUCCCUCUGCGGCUCCCCCGCCCGCUGUCCCGCCUCAGACGUGGCUGCACCCCGGAGCGGGGCGCCGGCCGAGACCUGAGACGUGGCGAUGCCGCUCUGCCGGCCUCGGCUCCAGUGCUUGAAUUUUAGCCACAUCCCUAAGCUGUCAUCUCAGACCAGAGGAACAGGGAGGGGCUUUCUGGAAAGAACAUCACCUGGAAGAAAUCAGGACAUGACUGUGGGCCAUGAGUGACCUUCAAGGAAAGCCAGGUAUCUGUGGUAUUUAAGAUGUGGUAAGAUUGUAUUAAAAUUAUAGAAAAAACCUCAAUCCAGAAAUCGUGGCCUCUUGACAUUUACAUCUUAACUGGAUUUUCCUGCCAAUGAGACACAUUACAAUCAUCCUCCAUGAGUGUUAUCUUUUUACCCAUCUUCAUUCUUUUAGAUCCGUGACAUUUAAGAACUGAAGAAACGAAAAGAUCGUCUGAUCAGUCCCAUCAGUCUUUUUCCUAAUGCUAAACAUUGGUACAAAGAUGUGAAGUUUGAUGUCUCACUAAGACUGCCUAGUGCUGCUUUAUUGCUCACCUACUUCAAAGUAUUGGGAAAACAUGAUUAUGGGUACAGGUGAGGCUGGGUUGCACCCAAACAGGUUUCUUUUGUCACAUUCUUUUGAUGGAUUAGGAAUCUACAAGUGGGGAGAUUUUAGGGAAAUAGUCCCUACACUUGGAUUUUCUUUAGGUCUUUAGGGUUCUCUUACCCCAAGAAACACGCAUUCCUCUUUAGUGUAGCAGCCCACUCUAUUGGCAAAGUUAAGCAGACUAGUUUUAUUUAAAAAGAGCCACCCAGAACCUUAGACAGACAGAAAAUACUUGAGGCACAGAUGAGAGUGAGCACAAAUGUGCAUAGCACGUGCAGUUUCCUGGCCCUUAAACUGAAGGGCCACGUCAGUCUGCUCCUCCAGGCACAGCCUGGGACCCCAUCAUGUGCCCGGCUCUGCAGUCUGAGCUUCUACUCAAGUCCACCAAGGCCUGCCUCACACAGCCCAUGUCUGGUCAGAGGGUUGCACUUUGCCACUGCCAUAUGUUCCCAGAGGUUGGCACAGCAUGACCUGGACCUCACCUAACCCAGGCAAACUCGGCUCAUCUUUGAGCUCUCUGGAACCCAUUUCUCACGGAAGAACCACAUUUCCGCACCUCACAGCCACGUUCAAGGAAGCGGCCUGGGUAAAGCAAUGACUCAAGGAUACAACAAGCAGACCACACAAUUAACAAGAUGUGCUGACUCGCAGGAGCAGCUGGGGGAGGGUAGGUGUCGUUUUCCCUGUUUAUUUUUUUUCUUAAGAAGAGUUUACUGAUUCUUCUUUCAGUACGGGCCUUUUAAUAAGAUACUGUGCUUUACUUCAGCUAUGUGUGCAGAAAAUUAAAGGAUUCUAGAAGUCUGAAA